Molecule: ribosomal RNA, 546 nt
Filed under: fungal sp.
Lineage: Eukaryota; Fungi
Description: eukaryotic LSU rRNA
Rfam family: 5.8S ribosomal RNA (bases 172-325)
Source: RNAcentral
GACCUGCGGAGGGAUCAUUAUAGAGUUUCAAAACUCCCAAACCCAUGUGAACAUACCUCUCGUUGCCUCGGCAGGCGCCGUCCUACCCCUCGUAGGCGAAACCUGCCGACGGCCCACGAAACUCUGUUUUUAUAGCAUUAGACUUCUGAAAAAGAUAACUAAAUCAGUUAAAACUUUCAACAACGGAUCUCUUGGUUCUGGCAUCGAUGAAGAACGCAGCGAAAUGCGAUAAGUAAUGUGAAUUGCAGAAUUCAGUGAAUCAUCGAAUCUUUGAACGCACAUUGCGCCCACCAGUAUUCUGGUGGGCAUGCCUGUUCGAGCGUCAUUUCAACCCUUAAGCCCUAGUCGCUUAGCGUUGGGAGCCUACCGGACCCCGUCCCGUAGCUCCCCAAAGUCAGUGGCGGAGCCGGCUUAACACUCCAGACGUAGUAGCUUUUACACAUCGCCUGUAGCCUAAGCCCGGCGCCCUGCCGUAAAACACCCCCCAAUGUAUAGGUUGACCUCGGAUCAGGUAGGAAUACCCGCUGAACUUAAGCAUAUCAAUAG